GACGAACGCUGGCGGCGUGCCUAAUACAUGCCAGUAGAACGCUGAAGGAGGAGCUUGCUUCUCCGGAUGAGUUGCGAACGGGUGAGUAACGCGUAGGUAACCUGCCUGGUAGCGGGGGAUAACUAUUGGAAACGAUAGCUAAUACCGCAUAAGAGUAGAUGUCGCAUGACAUUUGCUUAAAAGUUGCAACUGCACCACUACCAGAUGGACCUGCGUUGUAUUAGCUAGUUGGUGAGGUAACGGCUCACCAAGGCAACGAUACAUAGCCGACCUGAGAGGGUGAUCGGCCACACUGGGACUGAGACACGGCCCAGACUCCUACGGGAGGCAGCAGUAGGGAAUCUUCGGCAAUGGACGGAAGGCUGACCGAGCAACGCCGCGUGAGUGAAGAAGGGUUUCGGAUCGUAAAGCUCUGUUGUAAGAGAAGAACGAGUGUGAGAGUGGAAAGUUCACACUGUGACGGUAUCUGACCAGAAAGGGACGGCUAACUACGUG
This 495-nucleotide ribosomal RNA is filed under the name uncultured bacterium. RNAcentral describes it as "partial 16S ribosomal RNA". It matches the Rfam family "Bacterial small subunit ribosomal RNA", at positions 28 to 507 of the family's 1533-position model. The record is from RNAcentral.